This 490-nucleotide ribosomal RNA is filed under the name Escherichia coli. RNAcentral describes it as "bacterial SSU rRNA". It matches the Rfam family "Bacterial small subunit ribosomal RNA", at positions 1050 to 1533 of the family's 1533-position model. Lineage: Bacteria; Pseudomonadati; Pseudomonadota; Gammaproteobacteria; Enterobacterales; Enterobacteriaceae. The record is from RNAcentral.
UGUCGUCAGCUCGUGUUGUGAAAUGUUGGGUUAAGUCCCGCAACGAGCGCAACCCUUAUCCUUUGUUGCCAGCGGUCCGGCCGGGAACUCAAAGGAGACUGCCAGUGAUAAACUGGAGGAAGGUGGGGAUGACGUCAAGUCAUCAUGGCCCUUACGACCAGGGCUACACACGUGCUACAAUGGCGCAUACAAAGAGAAGCGACCUCGCGAGAGCAAGCGGACCUCAUAAAGUGCGUCGUAGUCCGGAUUGGAGUCUGCAACUCGACUCCAUGAAGUCGGAAUCGCUAGUAAUCGUGGAUCAGAAUGCCACGGUGAAUACGUUCCCGGGCCUUGUACACACCGCCCGUCACACCAUGGGAGUGGGUUGCAAAAGAAGUAGGUAGCUUAACCUUCGGGAGGGCGCUUACCACUUUGUGAUUCAUGACUGGGGUGAAGUCGUAACAAGGUAACCGUAGGGGAACCUGCGGUUGGAUCACCUCCUUACCUUAAA